GACGAACGCUGGCGGCGUGCUUAACACAUGCAAGUCGAACGGUAAGGCCCUUCGGGGUACACGAGUGGCGAACGGGUGAGUAACACGUGGGUGAUCUGCCCUGCACUUCGGGAUAAGCCUGGGAAACUGGGUCUAAUACCGGAUAGGACUCCGGACUGCAUGGUCUGGGGUGGAAAGCUUUUGCGGUGUGGGAUGGGCCCGCGGCCUAUCAGCUUGUUGGUGGGGUGAUGGCCUACCAAGGCGACGGCGGGUAGCCGGCCUGAGAGGGUGACCGGCCACACUGGGACUGAGAUACGGCCCAGACUCCUACGCGAGGCAGCAGUGGGGAAUAUUGCACAAUGGGCGCAAGCCUGAUGCAGCGACGCCGCGUGAGGGAUGACGGCCUUCGGGUUGUAAACCUCUUUCAGCAUCGACGAAGCGAAAGUGACGGUAGGUGCAGAAGAAGGACCGGCCAACUACGUGCCAGCAGCCGCGGUAA
Molecule: ribosomal RNA, 478 nt
Filed under: uncultured bacterium
Lineage: Bacteria
Description: partial 16S ribosomal RNA
Rfam family: Bacterial small subunit ribosomal RNA
Source: RNAcentral